Molecule: ribosomal RNA, 253 nt
Filed under: uncultured bacterium
Lineage: Bacteria
Description: partial 16S ribosomal RNA
Rfam family: Bacterial small subunit ribosomal RNA
Source: RNAcentral
UACGUAGGGUGCAAGCGUUAAUCGGAAUUACUGGGCGUAAAGCGUGCGCAGGCGGUUUGGUAAGUCAGAUGUGAAAUCCCCGGGCUUAACCUGGGAAUUGCAUUUGUGACUGCCCGGCUAGAGUGUGUCAGAGGGGGGUAGAAUUCCACGUGUAGCAGUGAAAUGCGUAGAGAUGUGGAGGAAUACCGAUGGCGAAGGCAGCCCCCUGGGAUAACACUGACGCUCAUGCACGAAAGCGUGGGGAGCAAACAGG